This 1687-nucleotide long non-coding RNA is filed under the name Marmota monax (woodchuck). The record is from RNAcentral. Lineage: Eukaryota; Metazoa; Chordata; Mammalia; Rodentia; Sciuridae.
AAAAAACUUACAUGUUUACAACAUCUAAGAAAUUUAGAAAAAUUCAGCAAUACAUACAGCAAACUCCAUAUUGAUUUAUCGAGUAUACUUUGAAAUAAAAUGGACCUAUUUACCAGUGUGGGUUUAACUGACUACAAAAUUGGUAAUUUAGGAGAAGUCACUUAACUUCUUUGAAUAUAAAUUGUUUAUAUAAUGAGAAAAAUAAUACCCUGAAUAGUUUUAAUGUUUAGUGUCUUUAAACUAAUCCCUAACAUACCGUAAGAGCCUAAGUUUACUUGUAAUAAGACCAUUCAUGUUAAUUAUAAAGUUUUGCCAAAUUUGGAUGUAGCCCUGCCUGUGACUUAUUAAUGCCAUGGCAUAAUUUAGAUGUGAGGGUAUAGAUAAAUAAAAAUAAGGCAUUUUCUAUUCUCUGUUGACUUAAUUCUCAUUAUGCAAAUGCAUUUGUUAAAAUACUGUUUCUUGAUUUUUGAUCAAUAACAAAGAGGAGAAAAAGAUAAUUAAGAGACCCUUUUCUUUAGGCUGGAUAUUAUCUGCCUUGGUACUUAUUGUGGAAAACAAAUGAAUCCUCUUAGGUAUUCCUAAAACACAUUACAAAUACAUAUUUAUCCAAAUGUUUCUAUACAUAUUGUAUACCCAGAUAUAGUUCUUGUUCUCUUAUUGGAACAAUGAUAAUAACCUUGUAUUAAUAAUAACUCUAUAUUUCUUCUGGACCACUUUCCAACUUGAGGAACAUUGAAUAACUUCAGUAAAUAUUAUUAUCUAACUUGAGUAAAUGUUUCAAGAUAUGAAUUAUAACACUUUCCAAUGAAAACACUGUAAAAUGAAAUCCAAGUUUCUUAUGAUAGCCAUUGUGGUUUCAAGCUUUCAAGAUGGCCCAGAAAUGAUCCCUGAUUCUUGAUAUUUUAUCCUUCUGUGGAUCCUUCUAUGUUGUGCCAUGUUUGGUUUGUCUGGCCAAGAGCAUACAUCAGAAAUGAUGGUACAUUGCUUCAAAAAGUUCUUUCACUUUGAAGAAGGUGACCUACUAAGUUAUGAGCAGAACUGUGCAGAGGCUCACAUGGAAGCAAGUAAAGUCUUGGCCCAAUAACCAGUAAGGAGCUGAGGCUGCCAUUACCCUUAUUUGUGAGCUUAGAAUACACCCAUCUGUUGAUUCUUGAGAUGACUGCAAAUUUCGUUUGGUAUUUGAGCCAGAACCACCCUGCUAGACAUUUCUAGAUUCUGACUCAGAGAAAGUACAUGAGAUGGUUAGUUAUAAAAUGUUAUGUUUGGGGACAAUUUGAUAUACAAUUCUUCUUCUUGGGUCCUGAGUGGUAACUUGCUUGCAACAAAUAAUAAUUUUCCCCCUGGAUAUCUCUAAACACCCUCUGUCUUUUAUUUUACAUGUUACCCUCUUUUCUCCAGAGAAAGUCAAAUAAUCUAAUUUUGCCACAUUCAUGUAAAAUAUAAUAUCAUGUUAAAAUUUAUCACCUAAAAGAACAGGGACCAGAUCAUCACAUUCUUCACUGUAUCUCCUAUAUUUACUCAGGGUAUGACCAAAAAAAAAAAAAAAAAAGACCGCCUAAAUAAAAAUGUGUUGACUACAUGAAAAUUUGAAUAAUUUUUUGGAAAAUAAAACCAAACAUAUAGCUCACUUUAGGUAUUAACUCUAGUGAUGGAGGCCACGCAUUUUUACUGUGAGCAUUAUGUACAA